Molecule: transfer RNA, 62 nt
Filed under: Cassida sp. EMHAU-15090501
Lineage: Eukaryota; Metazoa; Arthropoda; Insecta; Coleoptera; Chrysomelidae
Description: tRNA-His
Source: RNAcentral
GUUUAUAUAGUUUAAAUAAAAAUUUUGGUUUGUGGUUCCAAAGAUAAAUUGUUUUAUAAACA